GAUGAACGCUAGCUACAGGCUUAACACAUGCAAGUCGAGGGGUAGCAGGGUAGCAAUACCGCUGACGACCGGCGCACGGGUGAGUAACACGUAUCCAACCUUCCCAUAACUCGGGGAUAGCCUUUCGAAAGAAAGAUUAAUACCCGAUAGUACUUAAGAAAGGCAUCUUUUUAAGUUAAAGAUUUAUUGGUUAUGGAUGGGGAUGCGUUCCAUUAGAUAGUUGGUGAGGUAACGGCUCACCAAGUCUUCGAUGGAUAGGGGUUCUGAGAGGAAGGUCCCCCACAUUGGUACUGAGACACGGACCAAACUCCUACGGGAGGCAGCAGUGAGGAAUAUUGGUCAAUGGGCGAGAGCCUGAACCAGCCAAGUAGCGUGAAGGAUGAAGGUCCUAUGGAUUGUAAACUUCUUUUAUAGUAGAAUAAAGUGAUCCACGUGUGGAUUUUUGUAUGUAUACUAUGAAUAAGGAUCGGCUAACUCCGUG
This 481-nucleotide ribosomal RNA is filed under the name uncultured bacterium. Its description in RNAcentral is "bacterial SSU rRNA". It matches the Rfam family "Bacterial small subunit ribosomal RNA", at positions 28 to 507 of the family's 1533-position model. The record is from RNAcentral.